AUUGAACGCUGGCGGCAGGCCUAACACAUGCAAGUCGAGCGGAUGAAGGGAGCUUGCUCCUGGAUUCAGCGGCGGACGGGUGAGUAAUGCCUAGGAAUCUGCCUGGUAGUGGGGGAUAACGUCCGGAAACGGGCGCUAAUACCGCAUACGUCCUGAGGGAGAAAGUGGGGGAUCUUCGGACCUCACGCUAUCAGAUGAGCCUAGGUCGGAUUAGCUAGUUGGUGGGGUAAAGGCCUACCAAGGCGACGAUCCGUAACUGGUCUGAGAGGAUGAUCAGUCACACUGGAACUGAGACACGGUCCAGACUCCUACGGGAGGCAGCAGUGGGGAAUAUUGGACAAGGGGCGAAAGCCUGAUCCAGCCAUGCCGCGUGUGUGAAGAAGGUCUUCGGAUUGUAAAGCACUUUAAGUUGGGAGGAAGGGCAGUAAGUUAAGACCUUGCUGUUUGGACGUUACCAACAGAAUAAGCACCGGCUAACUUCGU
Molecule: ribosomal RNA, 483 nt
Filed under: uncultured bacterium
Lineage: Bacteria
Description: partial 16S ribosomal RNA
Rfam family: Bacterial small subunit ribosomal RNA
Source: RNAcentral